This 963-nucleotide long non-coding RNA is filed under the name Oryza sativa Indica Group (long-grained rice). RNAcentral's name for it is "lncRNA OsPr106_02g0029080". Lineage: Eukaryota; Viridiplantae; Streptophyta; Magnoliopsida; Poales; Poaceae. The record is from RNAcentral.
GAUCAAGAGGUCGAUCAGGAGCGACUCCAUGGUCACAAAUCCACGGAUGACCUGGUCAGGCGCUCCUUGGGGCGAGGAUUCAACAUUCUUCUUAUAAGAUCCUUUGCACUAUCAGAAAUCACAGGCCAGGGAUCGGAAUCAAAAUCAAUUACACCUUUUAACACUGCAUCAAAUAUCCCUUGCUGCGUCUCUGCAUUAAAUAUAGUACAGGUCAGCUUAGACGAGCUUGAAGAACACAGACAAGCCGAAAUCGAUGGCCUUGAGCGACAAAUCGUCGUCUUUAUUCGCCAGCAAGAAGUUCUCGGGCUUGAGAUCCCUAUGGAUAACCCCGAGCGAGUGGCACGCCUCGAUGACACCAACGAUGAUUCGCGUGAGCUCGGCCGCUUUGCGCUCGCUGAAUUGCCCGCGCUCGAUGAUGCGGUCGAACAGCUCGCCCCCGGCGCAGAGCUCCAUCACAAUGUGAACGUACUGCGGGUCCUCGUAGGCGCCCUUGAUGGCGACGACGUUCCGGUGGCCCGCGAGGUGGUGCAUGAUCUGGAUCUCGCGGCGGACGUCCUCGACGUCCUCCUUGGUGAUGAGCUUCCGCUUGGCUAUGGACUUGCAGGCGUAGUCCACCCCGGUGGCGAGGUCGGUGCAGAGGUAGGUGGUGCCGAACUGCCCCUGCCCGAGCUUGCGCCCGAGCGCUGCUCGCUCAGGCUCGGGGUCGGGUGCCCGAGCACGUUGGCCGUCAGCUCCGCGGGCGCGGGCGCCCCGCGCUUCAUGGACGCGGCGUGCGGCGCGUCCGCCGCCGCCGCAGAACCGCGCGGGGCCUUCUUCACGGCCGGCUCAUCGGCGGCGGCGGCGGCGGCGCUGGUGGCGACGGGCGCGUACCCCGCCUCAUCAUGCCGCUGCGACGCGCCGCGGAAGCUGGCGAAGUACUUGGAUCUAAGCGUGACGCCGCACGUGUUCCCCAUCACGCGCUGA